UACGAGGGGGGCGAGCGUUGUUCGGAAUUAUUGGGCGUAAAGGGUGCGUAGGCGGUUUGGUAAGUCUUGUGUGAAAUCUACAGGCUCAACUUGUAGUCUGCACGAGAAACUGCCGGGCUUGAGUAUGGGAGAGGUGAGUGGAAUUCCUGGUGUAGCGGUGAAAUGCGUAGAUAUCAGGAGGAACACCUGUGGCGAAGGCGGCCUUCUGGACCAAUACUGACGCUCAUGCACGAAAGCGUGGGGAGCAAACAGG
Molecule: ribosomal RNA, 253 nt
Filed under: uncultured bacterium
Lineage: Bacteria
Description: partial 16S ribosomal RNA
Rfam family: Bacterial small subunit ribosomal RNA
Source: RNAcentral